UACGUAGGGGGCAAGCGUUGUCCGGAAUCAUUGGGCGUAAAGAGCGUGUAGGCGGCCCGGUAAGUCCGCUGUGAAAGUCCAGGGCUCAACCCUGGGAUGCCGGUGGAUACUGUCGGGCUCGAGUCCGGAAGAGGAGUGCGGAAUUCCUGGUGUAGCGGUGAAAUGCGCAGAUAUCAGGAGGAACACCAAUGGCGAAGGCAGCACUCUGGGACGUGACUGACGCUGAGGAGCGAAAGCGUGGGGAGCGAACAGG
RNAcentral lists this ribosomal RNA (253 nucleotides) under uncultured bacterium. Its description in RNAcentral is "partial 16S ribosomal RNA". It matches the Rfam family "Bacterial small subunit ribosomal RNA", at positions 524 to 776 of the family's 1533-position model. The record is from RNAcentral.